This 217-nucleotide long non-coding RNA is filed under the name Elaeis guineensis (African oil palm). Its description in RNAcentral is "long non-coding RNA (EGUI_LNC062441)". Lineage: Eukaryota; Viridiplantae; Streptophyta; Magnoliopsida; Arecales; Arecaceae. The record is from RNAcentral.
CGUGUAAUGGACCUAUCGGCUCUCGUCCCGACUCGCUUCGCUCCAUCUCCGAAGUCCCAACCCUAGGGGGAAAAGGGUGGGAUAGAUUCCCGGGGGCGGUAAGGGCAACGGCAGCAGUGACGAAAACCUAUUUCAAGAAGAGCCGGAGUCACCUUGGAGGCAGCGGUGAUGCCAAAGAUAUGCUCCAUCUCCGAAUGCUCCGCAACAGCCGCCACCC